ACUCAAAGGAAUUGACGGGGGCCCGCACAAGCGGUGGAGCAUGUUGUUUAAUACGUCACGAACCGUAGAACCUUACCAGGGCUUGACAUCUGGUGCACCGGGGUGAAAGCCUCGUCUCCCGCAAGGGAGCGCCAAGACAGGUGUUGCAUGGCUGUCGUCAGCUCGUGUCGUGAGAUGUUGGGUUAAGUCCCGCAACGAGCGCAACCCUCAUCCCAUGUUGCCAGCGGAUCAUGCCGGGAACUCUUGGGAAACUGCCGGGGUAACUCGGAGGAAGGUGAGGAUGACGUCAAGUCAGCAUGGCCCUUACGCCCUGGGCUACAAACAUGCUACAAUGGACGGUAGACAGAGGGAUCCGAGGCCGCGAGGUGGAGGCAAUCCCAGAAAUCCGUUCUCAGUUCGGAUUGCAGGCUGCAACUCGCCUGCAUGAAGUCGGAAUCGCUAGUAACCGCAGGUCAGCGAAACUGCGGUGAAUACGUUCCCGGGCCUUGUACACACCGCCCGU
Molecule: ribosomal RNA, 502 nt
Filed under: uncultured bacterium
Lineage: Bacteria
Description: partial 16S ribosomal RNA
Rfam family: Bacterial small subunit ribosomal RNA
Source: RNAcentral